AGAGUUUGAUCAUGGCUCAGGAUGAACGCUAGCGGCAGGCCUAAUACAUGCAAGUCGAGGGGCAGCACGUUUUCGGAUGGUGGCGACCGGCGCACGGGUGCGUAACGCGUAUAUAACCUGCCCAUGACACGGGGAUAGCCUUGCGAAAGCAAGAUUAAUAUUCGAUGGUGCAAUUGGGAGGCAUCUUCUGAUUGCUAAAGAAUUUCGGUCAUGGAGGGGUAUGCGUCCGAUUAGCUAGUUGGUGGUGUAACGGACCACCAAGGCGACGAUCGGUAGGGGGUCUGAGAGGAUGAUCCCCCACACUGGUACUGAGAUACGGACCAGACUCCUACGGGAGGCAGCAGUAGGGAAUAUUGGGCAAUGGAGGCAACUCUGACCCAGCCAUGCCGCGUGCAGGAAGAAGGCCCUCUGGGUUGUAAACUGCUUUUGUACAGGAAGAAGUGACCCUUGCGAGGGUAGGUGACGGUACUGUACGAAUAAGCAUCGGCUAACUCCGUGCCAGCCGCCGCGGUAAUUC
This 517-nucleotide ribosomal RNA is filed under the name uncultured bacterium. Its description in RNAcentral is "bacterial SSU rRNA". It matches the Rfam family "Bacterial small subunit ribosomal RNA", at positions 8 to 526 of the family's 1533-position model. The record is from RNAcentral.